GCAUGAAACAUAUAUACUUAAAAUAAAUGCUUAGGAAAACAUUAAUAACAUGACAUGAUCCAUAACAGGAUUAGGACAGGUUACUUACUUUCUUCACAAAUCAUGUAUGCAAUUCAAAUUGUAUAAAAAAAAUACUGGUUCAUCUUAUAAAACGUAAUACAAGAUCUACGAUAGGAUUAAGACAGAUUACUUACAAUAAGUAGUAUUUAAAUUUCUUGGAUCCGGACGACGAGUCUUUAAUUCCUGGAACCAUUUAUAAGACUCACAUUAUCAUAAAUUUUAGCCCAAUUAAAGUAAAUUUGAGUCUACGAGGCCUAAUUGGGCCUCUAAGGGAAAGGUUGGGCCUGAUUUGUGGUUAAGUCCACUUUUCCUAGCCAAUUUGGCCUUCUGCCAAUUUAAUUGGGCCUGGUAUGGGCUUGAAUUGGGCUUUAAAUUUUGGUUUAAUUUAUAGUCUGGCUUGCCCAGACUUAGCCCAAUUUGAUUGGGCUCGGGUUUAGUCAAAUUUGGCUAAACCCUUUCCCUUUUUCUUUUUCUCUUUCUUUUUCUUUUUCUUUUUCUUUUUCUUUUUCUUUUUCUUUGGGCU
This 583-nucleotide long non-coding RNA is filed under the name Phoenix dactylifera (date palm). Its description in RNAcentral is "long non-coding RNA (PDAC_LNC021169)". The record is from RNAcentral. Lineage: Eukaryota; Viridiplantae; Streptophyta; Magnoliopsida; Arecales; Arecaceae.